Molecule: ribosomal RNA, 468 nt
Filed under: uncultured bacterium
Lineage: Bacteria
Description: partial 16S ribosomal RNA
Rfam family: Bacterial small subunit ribosomal RNA
Source: RNAcentral
GACGAACGCUGGCGGCGUGCUUAACACAUGCAAGUCGAACGGAAAGGCCCUGCUUUUGUGGGGUGCUCGAGUGGCGAACGGGUGAGUAACACGUGAGUAACCUGCCCUUGACUUUGGGAUAACUUCAGGAAACUGGGGCUAAUACCUGAUAGGAGCUCCUGCUGCAUGGUGGGGGUUGGAAAGUUUCGGCGGUUGGGGAUGGACUCGCGGCUUAUCAGCUUGUUGGUGGGGUAGUGGCUUACCAAGGCUUUGACGGGUAGCCGGCCUGAGAGGGUGACCGGCCACAUUGGGACUGAGAUACGGCCCAGACUCCUACGGGAGGCAGCAGUGGGGAAUAUUGCACAAUGGGCGGAAGCCUGAUGCAGCAACGCCGCGUGCGGGAUGACGGCCUUCGGGUUGUAAACCGCUUUAGCCUGUGACGAAGCGUGAGUGACGGUAAUGGGUAAAGAAGCACCGGCUAACUACGUG